Molecule: transfer RNA, 71 nt
Filed under: Golunda ellioti (Indian bush rat)
Lineage: Eukaryota; Metazoa; Chordata; Mammalia; Rodentia; Muridae
Description: tRNA-Gln
Rfam family: tRNA
About the family: Transfer RNA (tRNA) molecules are approximately 80 nucleotides in length.
Source: RNAcentral
UAGGAUAUGGUGUUUUGGUAGCACGGAGAAUUUUGAAUUCUUAAGUAUAGGUUCAACCCCUAUUGUCCUAG